This 329-nucleotide unclassified non-coding RNA is filed under the name soil metagenome. RNAcentral's name for it is "partial contains 5.8S ribosomal RNA, internal transcribed spacer 2, and large subunit ribosomal RNA". The stretch from base 1 to 120 matches the Rfam family "5.8S ribosomal RNA", at positions 35 to 154 of the family's 154-position model. The record is from RNAcentral.
GAUGAAGAACGCAGCGAAAUGCGAUAAGUAAUGUGAAUUGCAGAAUUCAGUGAAUCAUCGAAUCUUUGAACGCACAUUGCGCCCCCUGGUAUUCCGGGGGGCAUGCCUGUUCGAGCGUCAUUACAACCCUCAAGCUCUGCUUGGUAUUGGGCCCCGCCAGUUCUGGCGGGCCCUAAAGUCAGUGGCGGUGCCUUCCGGCUCCGAGCGUAGUAAUUCUUCUCGCUCUGGAGACCCGGUUGUGUGCUUGCCAACAACCCCCAAUUUUUUAAGGUUGACCUCGGAUCAGGUAGGGAUACCCGCUGAACUUAAGCAUAUCAAUAAGCGGUGGA